UACGUAGGGUGCAAGCGUUGUCCGGAAUUAUUGGGCGUAAAGAGCUCGUAGGCGGUUUGUCGCGUCUGCUGUGAAAACUCGGGGCUCAACUCCGAGCUUGCAGUGGGUACGGGCAGACUAGAGUGCGGUAGGGGAGACUGGAAUUCCUGGUGUAGCGGUGGAAUGCGCAGAUAUCAGGAGGAACACCGGUGGCGAAGGCAGGUCUCUGGGCCGUAACUGACGCUGAGGAGCGAAAGCAUGGGGAGCGAACAGG
This 253-nucleotide ribosomal RNA is filed under the name uncultured bacterium. RNAcentral describes it as "partial 16S ribosomal RNA". It matches the Rfam family "Bacterial small subunit ribosomal RNA", at positions 524 to 776 of the family's 1533-position model. The record is from RNAcentral.